UUAAAAGCAGUGACGGAGACAAAAAUGCCUCCACAUAUCUCAAGAGAGCUAAUGUUUGGUGAGAAUUAGCGGUAUGCGGCAUAUAAUGAUCACUCCUGAGCUUUCAAGUCGAAGCUUCAAAGUAGACUUGGACGUCCGCCAGCGUUACUUGGCUAUAUGGUUUGAUAAAGACCUGAUUAAUGGAGUUGGCUUUUGCCAUAAAAUAGGGUGGUACCGCGGAUAAUACUUUCGUCCCUAUG
This 239-nucleotide non-coding RNA is filed under the name Peptoclostridium litorale. RNAcentral describes it as "Clostridium litorale T-box sequence". It matches the Rfam family "T-box leader". From Rfam's summary of the family: Uncharged tRNA acts as the effector for transcription antitermination of genes in the T-box leader family. T-boxes are found upstream of many aminoacyl-tRNA synthetase genes and some amino acid biosynthetic genes usually in Gram-positive bacteria. The record is from RNAcentral. Lineage: Bacteria; Bacillati; Bacillota; Clostridia; Peptostreptococcales; Peptoclostridiaceae.